RNAcentral lists this ribosomal RNA (394 nucleotides) under uncultured bacterium. RNAcentral describes it as "partial 16S ribosomal RNA". It matches the Rfam family "Bacterial small subunit ribosomal RNA", at positions 523 to 918 of the family's 1533-position model. The record is from RNAcentral.
AUACGUAGGGGGCGAGCGUUAUCCGGAAUUAUUGGGCGUAAAGAGUGCGUAGGCGGUUUCUUAAGCGCGGGGUGAAAGGCCGUGGCGUAACCAUUGUUAGCCUUGCGAACUGGGAGACUUGAGUGCUGGCGAGGAAAGCGGACUUCCUAGUGGAGCGGGUAAAUGCGUAGAUAUUAGGAGGAACACCAGUGGAGAAGGGGGCUUUCUGGACAGUAACUGACGCUGAGGCACGAAAGUGUGGGGAGCAAACAGGAUUAGAUACCCUGGUAGUCCACACCGUAAACGAUGAGCACUAGGUGUCGGGUCCGCAAGGAUUCGGUGCCGCAGUUAACGCAUUAAGUGCUACGCCUGGGGAGUACGUACGCAAGUAUGAAACUCAAAGGAAUUGACGGGG